CGCCAUAACCAUGAACGACGUGAAUUAUCGUUUACAGCACACAUUUAAAAGUCUACCUUUUGAAGAAAAACUUGAGAUAAAGCACCUUGCUGCUCACCAGCCGCGGUAUGAUGUUAUAAACCAAACCACCUGUAAAAAUAAUCGCAUUUUACCGUGGAAACAUGGCUAACUUGUGAGAAGACUUAGCUUCCCGUGUGCUAUUCGGAGGGGAUUGUAACGCUAACUGGGCAAGAACAGGCUUUCAGGAUCUCACGCACCUUUCUGCGGUGAUUAAGGUUAGCUAACAUGAAAACAGCAGGAUAACGGGGAAAAUUGACUGCUUUGGCUCCCAGUAGUAAAGUUUUUCAUCAACAGUGCUAACGCUAGCAAUUGCUGUCCACUUGACGUCUUUUGGGGAAAAUAUGGAUACUGCGACACGAGGAGAGAAGAGAAGACAGGAGUAGUAAGACGUGUCGUCGAAGGACUUGACAAGCGAAUUGCAGCCAUGGUCUAGCUACAUCUUUACAGACUGGUAAAGCUAAGGACCCAGAAGGAGAGCUACAACACUUGGAUGAACAGUUGGAAAGUCCUUCAGCUGGAGGACACGCUGAAGAUUUAAAGCCUGGAAAGUGGAAAGCAUCCUUUGUGCUUCAGUGUCAUCCAGCGAGAUACUGAGUCAUGAAACCCUUUCUAACUCAUCAUCCUGUUUAUUUAUUAUUACAUAAGUAUAUGUACAUACGUUAAAUAUUCACCUGUGAGCCUCUUAGCAUAUCAAGAGACCCUCGGUUGGGUCGUGACCUAGUCUUGCAUUGCCAGACAAUCACAAUCGUCUUGAGCGGCACUGAGUUCCAAACGCAGCGCCGGUGCCUCUGCAAAAUGGUCUUGGGAGGGAACUUAUUUUGGUGGAACAUUUGCACCCCGUA
This is a long non-coding RNA of Sander lucioperca (pikeperch), 902 nucleotides long. RefSeq lists it as uncharacterized. The record is from RefSeq and is a predicted model, not a curated record. The transcript is spliced from 4 exons. Lineage: Eukaryota; Metazoa; Chordata; Actinopteri; Perciformes; Percidae.